This 287-nucleotide small RNA is filed under the name Thalassoporum mexicanum PCC 7367. RNAcentral's name for it is "Pseudanabaena sp. PCC 7367 5' ureB small RNA". It matches the Rfam family "5' ureB small RNA". Lineage: Bacteria; Bacillati; Cyanobacteriota; Cyanophyceae; Pseudanabaenales; Thalassoporaceae. The record is from Rfam by way of RNAcentral.
CAGUUUCAAUCUGUUGCGGACAAAUGAAGUGAAUGUGGCUAUCGAUCCCACCGGCGGUCAGAAUCUUACCUUCGCCAGCGAUCGCUUCGGUGCUAGGGCCAAUAAUAAUAUCGAUGUUGUCUUGAAUAUGGGGAUUCCCAGCCUUACCGAUCGCCACAAUCCGACCAUCCUUAAUCCCCACAUCUGCUUUGACUAUGCCCCACCAAUCCAGAAUUAGGGCGUUGGUAAUCACCACGUCAACUGCCCCACCAGCCCGAUCGAUCGUGGAUUGUCCCAUGCCAUCACGA